CAAUAACCUUAGGAAACGGAA
Molecule: non-coding RNA, 21 nt
Filed under: Arabidopsis thaliana (thale cress)
Lineage: Eukaryota; Viridiplantae; Streptophyta; Magnoliopsida; Brassicales; Brassicaceae
Source: RNAcentral